RNAcentral lists this non-coding RNA (59 nucleotides) under uncultured Pelagophyceae. Lineage: Eukaryota; Pelagophyceae. The record is from RNAcentral.
GCUUCCGCUGCCCCGAAGUCCUCUUCCAGCCGUCCUUCAUCGGCAAGGAAGCCUCCGGC